UACGUAGGCAGCAAGCGUUGUUCGGAGUUACUGGGCGUAAAGGGUGCGUAGGCGGCCCUAUAAGUAUGGUGUGAAAUCUCCCGGCUUAACUGGGAGGGUGCGCCGUAGACUGUGGGGCUAGAGUGUGGGAGAGGAAAGUGGAAUUCCUGGUGUAGCGGUGAAAUGCGUAGAUAUCAGGAGGAACACCGGUGGUGUAAACGGCUUUCUGGACCAUAACUGACGCUGAGGCACGAAAGCGUGGGUAGCAAACAGG
This 253-nucleotide ribosomal RNA is filed under the name uncultured bacterium. RNAcentral describes it as "partial 16S ribosomal RNA". It matches the Rfam family "Bacterial small subunit ribosomal RNA", at positions 524 to 776 of the family's 1533-position model. The record is from RNAcentral.